ACUCCUACGGGAGGCAGCAGUGGGGAAUUUUGGACAAUGGGGGCAACCCUGAUCCAGCCAUGCCGCGUGUGUGAAGAAGGCCUUCGGGUUGUAAAGCACUUUCGGCCGGAACGAAAUCGCGCGGGUGAAUAUCCCGCGUGGAUGACGGUACCGGAAGAAGAAGCACCGGCUAACUACGUGCCAGCAGCCGCGGUAAUACGUAGGGUGCAAGCGUUAAUCGGAAUUACUGGGCGUAAAGUGUGCGCAGGUGGCUGAGCAAGUCGAGUGUGAAAUCCCCGGGCUUAACUUGGGAAUUGCGCUCGAAACUACUUGGCUCGAGUGUGGCAGAGGAAGGUGGAAUUCCACGUGUAGCGGUGAAAUGCGUAGAGAUGUGGAGGAACACCGAUGGCGAAGGCAGCCUUCUGGGCCAACACUGACGCUCAUGCACGAAAGCGUGGGGAGCAAACAGGAUUAAAACUCAAAGGAAUUGACGGGNGCCCGCACAAGCGGUGGAUGAUGUGGUNNAAUUCGAUGCAACGCGAAAAACCUUACCUACCCUUGACAUGCUAGGAAUCCUGCAGAAAUGCAGGAGUGCCCGAAAGGGAACCUAGACACAGGUGCUGCAUGGCUGUCGUCAGCUCGUGUCGUGAGAUGUUGGGUUAAGUCCCGCAACGAGCGCAACCCUUGCCAUUAGUUGCUACAUUCAGUUGAGCACUCUAAUGGGACUGCCGGUGACAAACCGGAGGAAGGUGGGGAUGACGUCAAGUCCUCAUGGCCCUUAUGGGUAGGGCUACACACGUCAUACAAUGGCGCGUACAGAGGGUUGCCAACCCGCGAGGGGGAGCCAAUCCCAGAAAGCGCGUCGUAGUCCGGAUUGAAGUCUGCAACUCGACUUCAUGAAGUCGGAAUCGCUAGUAAUCGCGGAUCAGCAUGUCGCGGUGAAUACGUUCCCGGGCCUUGUACACACCGCCCGUCACACCAUGGGAGUGGGUUUCACCAGAAGCAGGUGCCUAACCG
Molecule: ribosomal RNA, 996 nt
Filed under: uncultured Burkholderiales bacterium
Lineage: Bacteria; Pseudomonadati; Pseudomonadota; Betaproteobacteria; Burkholderiales
Description: bacterial SSU rRNA
Rfam family: Bacterial small subunit ribosomal RNA
Source: RNAcentral